Molecule: ribosomal RNA, 253 nt
Filed under: uncultured bacterium
Lineage: Bacteria
Description: partial 16S ribosomal RNA
Rfam family: Bacterial small subunit ribosomal RNA
Source: RNAcentral
UACGUAGGGUGCAAGCGUUGUCCGGAAUUAUUGGGCGUAAAGAGCUCGUAGGCGGUUUGUCGCGUCUGCUGUGAAAACCCGAGGCUCAACCUCGGGCCUGCAGUGGGUACGGGCAGACUAGAGUGCGGUAGGGGAGAUUGGAAUUCCUGGUGUAGCGGUGGAAUGCGCAGAUAUCAGGAGGAACACCAAUGGCGAAGGCAGAUCUCUAGGCCGUAACUGACGCUGAGGAGCGAAAGCAUGGGGAGCGAACAGG